Molecule: long non-coding RNA, 1038 nt
Organism: Limulus polyphemus (Atlantic horseshoe crab)
Lineage: Eukaryota; Metazoa; Arthropoda; Merostomata; Xiphosura; Limulidae
Exons: 3
Source: RefSeq, a predicted model, not a curated record
UAAAAUGACCGAAGUGUGACUUUUAAAAUGUAAAAUAAAGUCGUACAAUUCUUUUGUUUUCUAGUUGAUAUAAAUAAGUGUGCAUGAGAAGUAGAAUGGCAUUAUUCUCUCCAAAACGCAAGUAAUUUUUUCAAGUUUUAACUUGUUAAUUAUCAAUGCAAUCGCAUAGAAAAUCGAAUUCUCUUAUGUGUUAUUCAAGAAUAUUUAAGGAAAAACUUGCACCUACUUAUUCCCUCGCAGUAGCUAUUGGGUUUCGUAUGUCCAGAAUACUCGAACAAAGCCAUGUCAGACUUCGCAGUGGUAGAAUUCGUCCUAAGGUAGGAAACUCACGUCUUGGGCACCGACUGAUAAAUUGCUUUUUCCAAGAAAGAACCCUUGAGUCAGGUGUAUAGGACUGAAAACUUUGCUUUAAAAGAAAUCACGGGUGGUUACCAACAAGUUAGUGGAAGAAGGAAUUCUUUUAGAUACACUUUGGUGGAGUCAUAGAAUUCCAGUGGUUCUCUGGCCGAGGAGAAGGUUCGAAGUUCUCGGAUAAAACAUCAUUUUCUGUUGUUCCGUAGGAGGGCGCCCCAGUAUUGGAGUCUGAUAAGGGAGAGGAUUGUUGAAUUUGGAAGGGUUGAAGUUGCGGAAUAAAUGAACUCUGUUGAUUAUGAGGUUGAACUGUGUUCAUCAUGCCAAAACUAAGAAAGGAAUGAUAUUCAUUAGGAUUAGCAAAAUUACGACUGUCGUUUGUUGGAGUUAGAGGAACAUUUACCAUCAUGCCUCCAGGUGGAGAUGUCGACGCCGCAGAAGAUGGAACAGUGACAGAGUUUGAAACUCCACUUUGUAAAAACGAAGGAUAUGUGGACGCAGGUUGACAGAAGUUGGUCUCAUUGAAGUGUAAAGGCCCAGGAAUUGUCCAUUGAUCAAACUGACUACCUGUUGAAAACAUUCCAGAACAAGCCGGCAUGGGAGGAGUUACACUUUCAUACCCACAGGAAGCUGUAACAGAAGAAACUACUGUAAAACUGGAUUUCUUUAAUUUACUUAAGUUGCAAU